CGACUUGGAGGUUGUUCCCUUGAGGAGUGGCUUCCGGAGCUAACGCGUUAAGUCGACCGCCUGGGGAGUACGGCCGCAAGGUUAAAACUCAAAUGAAUUGACGGGGGCCCGCACAAGCGGUGGAGCAUGUGGUUUAAUUCGAUGCAACGCGAAGAACCUUACCUACUCUUGACAUCCAGAGAACUUAGCAGAGAUGCUUUGGUGCCUUCGGGAACUCUGAGACAGGUGCUGCAUGGCUGUCGUCAGCUCGUGUUGUGAAAUGUUGGGUUAAGUCCCGCAACGAGCGCAACCCUUAUCCUUUGUUGCCAGCGAUUCGGUCGGGAACUCAAAGGAGACUGCCGGUGAUAAACCGGAGGAAGGUGGGGAUGACGUCAAGUCAUCAUGGCCCUUACGAGUAGGGCUACACACGUGCUACAAUGGCGCAUACAAAGAGAAGCGACCUCGCGAGAGCAAGCGGACCUCACAAAGUGCGUCGUAGUCCGGAUCGGAGUCUGCAACUCGACUCCGUGAAGUCGGAAUCGCUAGUAAUCGUGGAUCAGAAUGCCACGGUGAAUACGUUCCCGGGCCUUGUACACACCGCCCGUCACACCAUGGGAGUGGGUUGCAAAAGAAGUAGGUAGCUUAACCUUCGGGAGGGCGCUUACCACUUUGUGAUUCAUGACUGGGGUGAAGUCGUAACAAGGUACC
This 687-nucleotide ribosomal RNA is filed under the name uncultured bacterium. Its description in RNAcentral is "bacterial SSU rRNA". It matches the Rfam family "Bacterial small subunit ribosomal RNA", at positions 813 to 1500 of the family's 1533-position model. The record is from RNAcentral.